This 80-nucleotide unclassified non-coding RNA is filed under the name Burkholderia sp. OK233. Lineage: Bacteria; Pseudomonadati; Pseudomonadota; Betaproteobacteria; Burkholderiales; Burkholderiaceae. The record is from RNAcentral.
CAGUACGGGGGCAGCAGCGUCGACACAUGGGUGUUGUCGAGCCAGCCGACGUCGACCUUCACGCUGCUGCCUUCGCCGAU